UUACAGAAAUAAAUGUUUAUUACACAGUUAAUAAAUAGGCAUUUUCUGUCUUAGUAACACAUUUUGUCGCAGAUUUAAAAAGAAGUAAAUAAAAACAGCUUUAUGGACUAUUGUAGUUUAGAGAAAAUAAACUUUAAAAAUGACUUUGCUUACUUUGUAGACACACCAGUUACACUAAAUUUAAGCAGCUGUAGAUUUCUGGGAAAAUGUAAUGAAUUCUUUAAGAUGCAUUUAGC
Non-coding RNA from Pelobates cultripes (western spadefoot toad), 236 nucleotides. The record is from the annotation of a GenBank genome assembly. NCBI's taxonomy places the organism in Eukaryota, Metazoa, Chordata, Amphibia, Anura, Pelobatidae.